This 27-nucleotide small RNA is filed under the name Bombyx mori (domestic silkworm). RNAcentral describes it as "ovarian small RNA-33452". Lineage: Eukaryota; Metazoa; Arthropoda; Insecta; Lepidoptera; Bombycidae. The record is from RNAcentral.
UGCACCUGGCAUCGAGCCGGGAAUCCC